Molecule: ribosomal RNA, 556 nt
Filed under: Vairimorpha ceranae
Lineage: Eukaryota; Fungi; Microsporidia; Nosematidae
Description: SSU rRNA
Rfam family: Microsporidia small subunit ribosomal RNA
Source: RNAcentral
CACCAGGUUGAUUCUGCCUGACGUAGACGCUAUUCUCUAGAUUAACCCAUGCAUGUUUUUGACAUUUGAAAAAUGGACUGCUCAGUAAUACUCACUUUAUUUUAUGUAAAUUUUUGAUUAAUUAACUACGUUAAAGUGUAGAUAAGAUGUUUACAGUAAGAGUGAGACCUAUCAGCUAGUUGUUAAGGUAAUGGCUUAACAAGGCUGUGACGGGUAACGGUAUUACUUUGUAAUAUUCCGGAGAAGGAGCCUGAGAGACGGCUACUAAGUCUAAGGAUUGCAGCAGGGGCGAAACUUGACCUAUGGAUUUUAUCUGAGGCAGUUAUGGGAAGUAAUAUUAUAUUGUUUCAUAUUUUAAAAGUAUAUGAGGUGAUUAAUUGGAGGGCAAAUCAAGUGCCAGCAGCCGCGGUAAUACUUGUUCCAAGAGUGUGUAUGAUGAUUGAUGCAGUUAAAAAGUCCGUAGUUUAUUUUUUUAAGAAGCAAUAUGAGGUGUACUGUAUAGUUGGGAGAAAGAUGAAAUGUGACGACCCUGACUGGACGAACAGAAGCGAAAGCU